UACAAGUGAGUCCUGUUCAGCGUGGGAGGAAAUAACACAAGAGGCAAAGAUCACUCGGGACCACCUUGUAUAUUGGCUACCACAGAACCCAACACAAGCAAGAUGGAGUCUUGCUCUGUCUCCCAGGCUGGAGUGCAGUGGUGUAAUCUCGGCUCACUGCAACCUCUGCCUCCCGGGUUCAAGUGAUUCUCCUGCCUCAGCCUCGGAGUAGCUGGGACCACAGAUGGAGUCUCGCUCUGUUGUCCAGGCUGGAGUGCAGUGGGGCGAUCUCGGCUCACUGCAACCUCUGCCUCCUGGGUUCAAGUGAUUCUCCUGCCUCAGCCUCCCAAGUAGCGGGGACUACAGCACUGCAAUGAAUGCUGCUGCACACGCUGUUGAGCUCGUGGACACUUUCCUGCUGGGUGAGGACCCGAACGUGAAAUUGCUGGGUCAUGGAUUCAAGUGCUACACAUAUUUUUGACCACAUUACUGUGACUCAGGAAGCCCAGGAACAGAAUUCUAGGCACCAGAACCAUACAUGUUACAGCCUCUGAGCUUUAUGGCCUCUGAGCCAUUUGUCCAGCCACAUCAUUUGCAGAUGAGAUCCUGAGACUCAGGCUGGAAAAGUGACCGGGGAAAAGUCACACAAGUCAGAGGCAGAGCUGGAGUUUCCUCAUUUCCAGGCCCGUAUAGAUCAAGACGGACGUUGGUCAAACACCUCCUAGUACUCACAUGAAGAAGCUCUCCUUUCUGCUGUAGGAAUGAUCACACACCAUUCCAAUCUGGAUACCAAAUGUCAUUGUUUAUUAAAUGUGUGCAGUGUGCCAG
This 807-nucleotide long non-coding RNA is filed under the name Homo sapiens (human). RNAcentral describes it as "HSALNT0317364". The record is from RNAcentral. Lineage: Eukaryota; Metazoa; Chordata; Mammalia; Primates; Hominidae.